Chinchilla lanigera (long-tailed chinchilla) is the source of this 864-nucleotide long non-coding RNA. RefSeq lists it as uncharacterized. NCBI's taxonomy places the organism in Eukaryota, Metazoa, Chordata, Mammalia, Rodentia, Chinchillidae. The transcript has 4 exons. The record is from RefSeq and is a predicted model, not a curated record.
UGCACUUGCCAGGCAGACGCUGUGCCACUGAGCUAAAUCCCCAGCCCCGAAAUCUCUAUAUUCUUAAAAGCAGAAUAUGAGAUCACGUACUUAUUGCCUAACAAUGGGCCCUUCUCAAGAUGGCUCCUGGUUAUCACACUCGGAGAGGUGCUGAGUGAUGCACAGUGAUCCCUCACCUAUCGCAGGAGUUACGUUCCAGAGAUCCCUGCAACAGGUCUGCAUAUUUCCAGGAGCUACAUUUGACUGCACCUGAGAAACCUUAUCAGAUGGCAAAACAUCAACUUUGAGCUGAUGCAAUAAUGGGAUGCGACUCUGAGGAUCUUGAGGAGGUGUUUUUGCAGAAUAAAUUCUCACUAAAGGCCUGCAAGUGGAGAUGAUGCCUUUCCAUUCAGAGGCCCUUAGAAAAUAAGGAUUUGGGAGGCCAUCUUAAAUAAGACACUCAGCAAUGGGAUCGAGACUGUUUUCCUGUGUAGUCUCAUAGGACAAGAUGAAUUUCAGAUUACUGUUUUACUCUGUAAUUUCCCAGAAUUGUCAUGUUUAUUGUGUCUUUCCUGUCUUUCUAGUGUCCUUCCCUGUCCUAAAAUACCACUUUCCAGAAAGAAGUAGGCGUGUGUCUCUCUUGUUCACUGCUUUUUCUCCAGCGCCUAAAACAGUGACUACCAUGUGAGAAGAGCCCCUCAAAUUGUGAAAGAAAUGAGGAACUGAGUGAAUGAAGCCCUCGGAGUACCACAGUCUGGGCAGAGCUGGGAAGACUGAUGCGUUCUGUGUGGCAGCAUCCUAAGAGGGGAAUGCCUGAGAGGGUGAGAGCUCUUUCUGAGGAGACCAGCAGAUACAGGAAAGAAGGAACUAUACCGCGACAGCAUG